RNAcentral lists this long non-coding RNA (1471 nucleotides) under Falco tinnunculus (common kestrel). Its description in RNAcentral is "lncRNA (ENSFTIG00000003077.1)". Lineage: Eukaryota; Metazoa; Chordata; Aves; Falconiformes; Falconidae. The record is from RNAcentral.
UUGCUAUCUGUAAAUCGUGCUAAAACCUUGUUUAAGCUCAGAAGAAAAAGUUCAUCUAGCAACUAAAAUGCUGGGUAAACAUUUUUUAUUUGCAUUGCAGGUGUGAAGAAGUGGAGCUGCGCAGCAGCAGACCAUCAUGUGUGAAAUGAACUUCCUAAUUACAGCACUGCAAGGCCAUUGAAGCCCCUGGAAAAUGAGAGGGGAAAGCACUCCAGCAGCGUAUGGAACCUCUUGCAAUUCCUUUAAUGCGCUCAUCUUUUUUUUUUCUGUGGCUGUGAAAGCAGUGCCCAUUAGUCUGCCUUAUCUGUCAGGUACAAGGCUAGAAGAAGUCUCAGCUGCAGUGAGACACUGGAUAGCAAACUCGUGGUAAAGCGAAGAUACUGUAGCAGAAGCACUGUGUGUAUUUUAGAUAUGCAUAUAUGUUGCUGCUCAGAUGAGAUCCAAGACCCAGGAUAUGUGAUUUAAAGGUAUGUACUUCCAUGCUCUUUGUUCUUCUCCAAAUCUUAGGUUGCCCUCAAGAGUUACUAGGUCCUAAACCACCCAUUUUUUACCACCCAUAAGCCAGGAGUAAAUCUUCCUCCUGGUAACUGAGGAGUUAAGAUAGGUAAAGCACACAGUUAUGAACUGGAUAUUUUCUGAUUCCAAAAUGCGUUCUGCGCUUUUGCUCCUGCAUGAAUAAAGUGUGAAUUUGACACAUGAGAAAGCAAGUGAACCAUUAGCGUGUGUCAGUGAACCCUCUUCUGAUGCCAGUUUUCUUGAUUUGUUGUCCUUUUGCAGAGGAGUAAAUGACCACUUGAUAAAGCCAAAUGAAGCUUCCACAGCCACUCUGGUGAGGCUUUGUCUUACCAGGCUGCUGUAACAGUAGCUGUGCUGCAGUCCCAGACUUUCAGGGGUCUGCUUUGUAUUGAGACUUGGAGAUUUAUUGUAUGCAGAAUUCCCUUCAUGGCACUGCUGGCUAUAGGGGGCCUUUUCUCUCCUUGUGCCAUCGGGGCACCCAAGGUGCUGAAAAAAAUGCUUCCUUUCUUAGUCAUCAUUGGAUUAUUUUUCUCAGCUGCAGCAGUUCUCUGAUCUGGCUUGGUGUGCCACUGCUCAAAUACUUGUACGGGCAUCAUGGAGGGCAGCAUCAGACUUGAAGAGUACAAUACCUCUUGCCUGUCUUCCUGCAGCUGAAUGAAAGUCUGUGUAAGACACAGCUCCUAAGGACUUUUGUGAGCCCAGACUAAAUUUCUGCUGUUAUUGAAUGAGACAGUUCCCUUUUAUUGUUAUGUGAGUCAUUGGAGGAACUCCUCUUAGACCUAUGGGAGCAUUUGAGACACGUGGCUUCAUAGCUGCUGGGUGGGAGGCACUAACACAGAGUGACUCAUCACUCCCCUCAGGGACAAGAAGAGGUUUACGCAGUCGACUGGAAAUCGUAUUUUUAUGUGCAGAUAGACCUCUUCAUGGUGGAGCAUCCCAAAGCAGUUUACAAAAA